AGUUGAUUAUUAGUACUCCAUAUGAAAAGCGUGGUCAUCGUCGUUCACCCAUCUCAUUAGCGUCGCCUCAUCAUAAGUCUAUCAUAAAACCUUCUCCGUCUAAUGUUCCUCCUGUUUGGAAAAAUAAUUGUAAAGGUCGUGAUAGUCCAAGAUCUUCUUCUUCAUGUAGAAAGCGUAAUGGCAAUCAUCUUUCGAUUUCAUUGGCUCCACUUCCUCCUGUUAAGUCCCUUCUAGGACCUCCCCCGUAUAAUGUGGCUCCACUUCCUCCUGUUAAGUCCCUUCUAGGACCUCCUCCGUCUAAUGU
This 304-nucleotide long non-coding RNA is filed under the name Olea europaea (common olive). RNAcentral's name for it is "long non-coding RNA (OEUR_LNC015181)". The record is from RNAcentral. Lineage: Eukaryota; Viridiplantae; Streptophyta; Magnoliopsida; Lamiales; Oleaceae.